Molecule: ribosomal RNA, 845 nt
Filed under: Micrococcus luteus
Lineage: Bacteria; Bacillati; Actinomycetota; Actinomycetes; Micrococcales; Micrococcaceae
Description: bacterial SSU rRNA
Rfam family: Bacterial small subunit ribosomal RNA
Source: RNAcentral
AGGUGGAAUGCGCAGAUAUCAGGAGGAACACCGAUGGCGAAGGCAGGUCUCUGGGCUGUAACUGACGCUGAGGAGCGAAAGCAUGGGGAGCGAACAGGAUUAGAUACCCUGGUAGUCCAUGCCGUAACGUUGGGCACUAGGUGUGGGGACCAUUCCACGGUUUCCGCGCCGCAGCUAACGCAUUAAGUGCCCCGCCUGGGGAGUACGGCCGCAAGGCUAAAACUCAAAGGAAUUGACGGGGGCCCGCACAAGCGGCGGAGCAUGCGGAUUAAUUCGAUGCAACGCGAAGAACCUUACCAAGGCUUGACAUGUUCUCGAUCGCCGUAGAGAUACGGUUUCCCCUUUGGGGCGGGUUCACAGGUGGUGCAUGGUUGUCGUCAGCUCGUGUCGUGAGAUGUUGGGUUAAGUCCCGCAACGAGCGCAACCCUCGUUCCAUGUUGCCAGCACGUCGUGGUGGGGACUCAUGGGAGACUGCCGGGGUCAACUCGGAGGAAGGUGAGGACGACGUCAAAUCAUCAUGCCCCUUAUGUCUUGGGCUUCACGCAUGCUACAAUGGCCGGUACAAUGGGUUGCGAUACUGUGAGGUGGAGCUAAUCCCAAAAAGCCGGUCUCAGUUCGGAUUGGGGUCUGCAACUCGACCCCAUGAAGUCGGAGUCGCUAGUAAUCGCAGAUCAGCAACGCUGCGGUGAAUACGUUCCCGGGCCUUGUACACACCGCCCGUCAAGUCACGAAAGUCGGUAACACCCGAAGCCGGUGGCCUAACCCUUGUGGGGGGAGCCGUCGAAGGUGGGACCAGCGAUUGGGACUAAGUCGUAACAAGGUAGCCGUACCGGAAGGUGCGGCUG